Molecule: long non-coding RNA, 640 nt
Filed under: Nicotiana tabacum (common tobacco)
Lineage: Eukaryota; Viridiplantae; Streptophyta; Magnoliopsida; Solanales; Solanaceae
Description: long non-coding RNA (NTAB_LNC019336)
Source: RNAcentral
AACAAAUUCUUCUCUAAACAAAAAGACGUAUUCUCAUCUUCUCAAUCCCAAAUGAAAAAAGCUAGGGUUCUGCCUCUGUUGAUCGCUGGCGCUGCUACCACAAUCUGUCAGAUCCAUACGCCUUUCAACUCUCGUUGUGUAUCAAUGUAUGCUCUUUCUCCCUUAGAAGUUAGACCCUUCUUCCUUCUUCAAUUCUUCUUUCCUGAUUUUUUUUUCCCUUCUUCCUUCUUCAAUUCUUCUUUCCUGAUUUUUUUUUCUUUCAUUUUUCCUCUUAUAUUUUAUAUUUGAUAAUUUAUACAAAAUUUGAUUUUUAAUUUUUAAUUCUAGGGUUGUCCCACAUUUUGAACUUCAUUCUCUUUGUCAAUUUGUGCUUUGGUUCUUUCCAAAAGUUCGAACUUGGAGUCUCCGAUAAGUCGAUAGACAAGGUAUGUGGUUGUUGUCCUACUUUCUUGUUUUUAGUUUCUUAGGGAGACUAACUUGCAUUCACAUAGAGUGGCCUUAUGUCCUUAUUAAGAAGAAAACUUUCAUAUGUAGUUAGGGCGGAGCUACAGUAGAAGAAAAAUUGGUGACUUUUUUCGAGACCCUGUAUUUAUAAUUUAGAACCCAUACACUUCAAAUCCUAGCUCUGCCUCUGCUGGUC